GUGGGGAAUCUUGCGCAAUGGGCGAAAGCCUGACGCAGCCAUGCCGCGUGAAUGAUGAAGGUCUUAGGAUUGUAAAAUUCUUUCACCGGGGACGAUAAUGACGGUACCCGGAGAAGAAGCUCCGGCUAACUUCGUGCCAGCAGCCGCGGUAAUACGAAGGGGGCUAGCGUUGCUCGGAAUUACUGGGCGUAAAGGGCGCGUAGGCGGACAGCUUAGUCAGAGGUGAAAGCCCAGGGCUCAACCUUGGAAUUGCCUUUGAUACUGGCUGUCUUGAGUUUGGGAGAGGUGAGUGGAACUCCGGGUGUAGAGGUGAAAUUCGUAGAUAUUCGGAAGAACACCAGUGGCGAAGGCGACUCACUGGCCCAAUACUGACGCUGAGGCGCGAAAGCGUGGGGAGCAAACAGGAUUAGAUACCCUUGUAGUCC
RNAcentral lists this ribosomal RNA (425 nucleotides) under uncultured bacterium. RNAcentral describes it as "partial 16S ribosomal RNA". It matches the Rfam family "Bacterial small subunit ribosomal RNA", at positions 354 to 796 of the family's 1533-position model. The record is from RNAcentral.